GACGAACGCUGGCGGCGUGCUUAACACAUGCAAGUCGAACGGAAAGGCCCUGCUUUUGUGGGGUGCUCGAGUGGCGAACGGGUGAGUAACACGUGAGUAACCUGUCCCUGACUUUGGGAUAACUUCAGGAAACUGGGGCUAAUACCGGAUAGGAGCUCCUGCUGCAUGGUGGGGGUUGGAAAGUUUCGGCGGUUGGGGAUGGACUCGCGGCUUAUCAGCUUGUUGGUGGGGUAGUGGCUUACCAAGGCUUUGACGGGUAGCCGGCCUGAGAGGUUGACCGGCCACAUUGGGACUGAGAUACGGCCCAGACUCCUACGGGAGGCAGCAGUGGGGAAUAUUGCACAAUGGGCGGAAGCCAGAUGCAGCAACGCCGCGUGCGGGAUGACGUCCUUCGGGUUGUAAACCGCUGUCGCCUGUGACGAAGCGUGAGUGACGGUAAUGGGUAAAGAAGCACCGGCUAACUACGUG
This 468-nucleotide ribosomal RNA is filed under the name uncultured bacterium. RNAcentral describes it as "partial 16S ribosomal RNA". It matches the Rfam family "Bacterial small subunit ribosomal RNA", at positions 28 to 507 of the family's 1533-position model. The record is from RNAcentral.